GUGCAGCAGUCGCGAAACCUCCGCAAUGCGGGCAACCGCGACGGGGGGACCCCCAGUGCCGUGGCAUCGCCACGGCUUUUCUGGAGUGUAAAAAGCUCCGGGAAUAAGGGCUGGGCAAGGCCGGUGGCAGCCGCCGCGGUAAUACCGGCGGCCCCGAGUGGUGGCCGCUAUUAUUGGGCCUAAAGCGUCCGUAGCCGGGCCUGUAAGUCCCUGGCGAAAAUCCCACGGCUCAACCGUGGGGCUUGCUGGGGAUACUGCAGGCC
RNAcentral lists this ribosomal RNA (263 nucleotides) under uncultured microorganism. RNAcentral's name for it is "partial 16S ribosomal RNA". It matches the Rfam family "Archaeal small subunit ribosomal RNA", at positions 330 to 592 of the family's 1478-position model. The record is from RNAcentral.